This 2942-nucleotide small RNA is filed under the name Pongo abelii (Sumatran orangutan). Its description in RNAcentral is "retained intron". The record is from RNAcentral. Lineage: Eukaryota; Metazoa; Chordata; Mammalia; Primates; Hominidae.
GUCUGUGACAAUAGGCCUACUUUUGAGGGUUUAAAUGAGCUCUUACGGUGGAUGCAUCUGCUGUGGGCCUGCACACUACAGCUCUCCUGCCUUUUCCCUGCAUGCCAGAGGCCUCCUCUCCCUGUCCUGAUGGCUGGCUGUGGAUUCUCUUUUACUUCUAGGACUCUAAUCCCUUUGCUUCCCUUGUCUUCUACUGGGAGCCGCUUAACCGUCAGUAUCUGAGAAAGAAAAAUGAGGAACUGGAACAGCUCUACCAGGAUCAAGAGGUGCCCAAGCCAAAAUCCUGGGGUGGCUAUGUCCUGUACCCUCAGGUGAUGGAGUUCUGGCAAGGUCAAACCAACCGCCUGCAUGACCGGAUAGUCUUUCGGCGGGGCCUACCCACAGGAGAUUCCCCUUUGGGGUCCAUGACCCACCGCGGGGAGGAAGACUGGCUCUAUGAGAGACUUGCACCUUAACUCUGGGACCUGCCAGCCCAGAGUGGAGCUAGGGCUAGGUGUCAAGAGAGGGUGUGGGAUUGAGACCCAGGCCCUUCUUUCUAAAGUCAACCCAUUUCCCUCCCUACCCCUUAUAUUCAGGACUCUUCAGAGCUAAUCCUCUAAGUUCUCUGUACUCAGUUGGUUCUCAGUUAGCUGGUCAAGUGGAGUGUAAUGGUGGCAUAGAGAAUCACAAAUGGAAAAUAAUUCCAUAAUUAUUUUUUUGACCUUGCCUAUGAUUGAUUAGGAUAGCUCCCUCUAGGGGUAGCAGCCGGUGUGACUCCCUUUCUGGUGACAGAGAGGGCCCCAGCAGCCCUGUUUACCGUGUGAGUCAUACUGGCCAAAGUUUAGUCCCAGCAUAUGCACCUGAGCCAACCUGGCCAAUCAGAUUGUUUUGUCAAUAAUUUGAAAUUUGAACUGGAGAGAUCCAGAACCUUGGGAGUCAUUGAAGCCAAGUCAUUCAUAGCAGCCAGGAAACAAUAGGAACCAACAGCCUUUGCCUGCUGCUAUUGCAAUUCCCAGGAUCUCUCCUUCCCUGGAUCCCUCCCUCCCAGGUCUGGGCUGUGCAGUUCCUCUCCCUGCCUUGACACUCCCCACUAUCUCUGUAAAAUCUCUCUCUUUUUCUUUUUUUUCUUUUUUUUGACUUAAUCUAGCUAGAAUCUAUUUCAGUUGCUUACAACUUAACUCAUUUAUGGAUAGGACUUUUUUUUUCUUUUUUCUUUUUCUUUUCUUUUUUUUUUUUUUUUUGAGAUGGAGUCUCACUCUGUCGCCCAGGCUGGAGAGCAGUGGCGUGAUCUUGGCUCACUGCAACCUCUGCCUGCCAGGUUCAAGCAAUUCUCCUGCCUCAGCCUCCCAAGUAGCUGGGACUACAGGCACACGCCACCACGCCCAACUAAUUUUUGUAUUUUUAGUAGAGACGGGGUUUCACCCUGUUGGCCAGGAUGGUCUCCAUCUCUUGACCUUGUGAUCCACCCCCCUUGGCCUCCCAAAAUGCUGGGAUUACAGGCAUGAGCCACCACACCCAGCGAGACGGGGUUUCAUUAUGUUGGCCAGGCUGGUCUCCAACUCCUGACCUGAAGUGAUCCGCCCGCCUUGGCCUCCCAAAGUUCUGGGAUUACAGACAUGAGCCACCACGCUUGGCCGGGAUAGUAUAUUUUUAUAGCACUUCUCCUACUGAUUGCUGCCCUCUCUGUGGCUACAAGGGACCCACAGAAUUACAGGGAAGUUACAGGGAAGCAGGUUUCAUCUCAAUAUUGGGAGAGAUUUCAAACAAUCAGACCUGCCUGAGAAGGAGUGGGCUGUCACUAGGAAUUUUUAUUCCCAGUCAGUCAGGAAUUUUGUAGAAGGGCUUCAUGUGCUGGUACCAAUAGGACAGGAAGAUUUUAAUCAGCUUUACUAUUUAUGUUUGUUUAUGGAAACUGUGUGUAUGUGUACAUACAUUUUCCAAAAAGAAAAAUUAAAUGAUUAUAGAGAUUAUGUUUUUCAGACUACUCACAUAUCUGCUUUCCUUACUCCUCACCUCUGCUGAUAAUUCCUAGAUCAUUGGUUUUUCCCCCACACUGGAAUUACCUGGAGAGCUUAGAAAACCCUGAUGCCUGGGUCCCACCCUCAGAGAUGAUUGAACCAGCCUGGCCAGCAUGGCAAAACCCUGUCUCUACUAUGUUAUGAGUGCAGCCUGGGCACUGGGAAAUUUAAAAUCUCCCCAGAGAAUUCUGUGCAGCCAAGGUUGAGAACUCCUAGUCUAGAGCUUUGCUAUACACAGGGUGGUCCACAAGCCAGGAGCAUCAGCAUCACUUGGCAGCGCCUUAGAGAUUCAGACCCCAGACCCACUGAAUCUGACCCUGCAUUUUCACUAGACCCCAGGUGAUCAGCUGCACUAGACUCAACCUCUAAACCAUGACCUCCGACCCUCACAGGCUGUGAUCCUUUAGGGACCCUCAGCUGAGUCCUGUGCUGAACUGUGUUUGUUCUCCUUGAGCACAAGCCGGCUGACCAGGGACAGACUGGAUGAGCAAGCAACCUGCUGGCUAUGGAGAGGAGCCAGGCUUGUUAAAUGUUUGCUGUGACUAAGCCAGGAUCAAAGAACUGACUGUUGCUUGCACUGGCUGGCAUUGAGCUUGCCACUCUGUGAACUGUGCUUCCUUCCCCUGCAUGGACCUGUGCCUCAGUCACUAUUAUCCGCAGGCCUUCUCCAAGGGCAGCCCUCUCCUUGUUUAUCCCUCUUAAGCCUGCGUGCAGGAAGGCACAUUAACCCUGUGGCCCCCUGCAGGCAGGAGGGUGUCGGGUACCCUUACCUACCUUGCCCUUUUUCUUGUACCGUAGGCUGUGCCGUUUAUGAGUAAGUGUAUGUGUGUCUGUGUGUGUGUCUAGGAGUGCUGCACCCACCUUGUGUUAUUGGAGGUUGUGUAUCCCCCUAGCUUUGAGCCUGGUCUCAGAUGUUCCUUUUCCGUUCUCUGUCCAGCCGUUACU